CCCAGACGGGGCGCAGCAGUCGCGAAACCUUUGCAAUACACCCGAGUGUGACAGGGUCAUCCCGAGUGCCGACCGCUGAGGUUGGCUUUUACCCAGUCUAGAAAGCUGGGGGAAUAAGGAGAGGGCAAGUCUGGUGUCAGCCGCCGCGGUAAUACCAGCUCUCCGAGUGGUGUGGACGUUUAUUGGGCCAAAAGCAUCCGUAGCUGGCUGAACAAGUCCCCUGUUAAACCCACCGAUUAUAAUCGUUGGCGUGCGGGGGAUACUGCUCGGCUAGGGGACGGAGAGGCAAGCGGUAUUCCCGGGGUAGGGGUGAAAUCCUGUAAUCCA
This 327-nucleotide ribosomal RNA is filed under the name uncultured archaeon. RNAcentral describes it as "bacterial SSU rRNA". It matches the Rfam family "Archaeal small subunit ribosomal RNA", at positions 321 to 649 of the family's 1478-position model. The record is from RNAcentral.